CCUACGGGUGGCAGCAGUGAGGAAUAUUGGUCAAUGGACGAGAGUCUGAACCAGCCAAGUAGCGUGAAGGAUGACUGCCCUAUGGGUUGUAAACUUCUUUUAUAUGGGAAUAAAAUGUUCCACGUGUGGGAUUUUGUAUGUACCAUAUGAAUAAGGAUCGGCUAACUCCGUGCCAGCAGCCGCGGUAAUACGGAGGAUCCGAGCGUUAUCCGGAUUUAUUGGGUUUAAAGGGGGCGUAGGUGGAUGGUUAAGUCAGUUGUGAAAGUUUGCGGCUCAACCGUAAAAUUGCAGUGGAUACUGGCAGUCUGGAGUACAGUAGAGGUGGGCGGAAUUCGUGGUGUAGCGGUGAAAUGCUUAGAUAUCACGAAGAACUCCGAUUGCGAAGGCAGCUCACUGGACUGCAACUGACACUGAGGCUCGAAAGUGUGGGUAUCAAACAGGAUUAGAUACCCUAUAGUC
RNAcentral lists this ribosomal RNA (459 nucleotides) under uncultured bacterium. RNAcentral's name for it is "partial 16S ribosomal RNA". It matches the Rfam family "Bacterial small subunit ribosomal RNA", at positions 338 to 795 of the family's 1533-position model. The record is from RNAcentral.